Long non-coding RNA from Micropterus salmoides (largemouth bass), 822 nucleotides. RefSeq lists it as uncharacterized. The record is from RefSeq and is a predicted model, not a curated record. The transcript has 3 exons. Lineage: Eukaryota; Metazoa; Chordata; Actinopteri; Centrarchiformes; Centrarchidae.
GGGAGUUGAAAACCUGGACAUUGCACAUUUCAUGUUUGCCACACGGGGAACAGGGAGAGCAAGUUUCAUCGCAUCCACCAUCAGAGAAUAGAGAGACUUCGGUGUGACGUCUGGGUUGCAGUUACCAGCAAGUACCAUGAUAUUCUUCAUUCUCUGGAGGAGGAUGGUCUGCUCGACAUUUUUGAUGUCGUUCUACUCUUUGGUGUGAACUACAUCUUUGUUCCUCGACUCCAGGCAACCUUUAUUGGAGGAUGGAAUAAUCAUCCUCUACGGACAGAGGCCGAUCUCACUCCUGAACAGCUGUGGAGUAUAAGACAUCUCCAAUCGCUAGGAGCUUCAUGAUCCAGGCAUUGACUGGGAGAGUGCUGUACUGCAAGAAGACUCUAAUGACACAGUUGUUGUUGUUGUUGAAUGCCCACUGGAUGAAGAAACCUUGGAAGGACUUCAGAGAACCAUCAAUCCUCUGGAACAUUCUCAGUCACAUGGUUAUGACUUGUACAUAGUUCUUACACAUGCUGUCAAACCAACAAUGACAUUUCAAUGAUGAAAUCUGCAUCAGGCUAUAAAGAAGGAGCGAAUGCAGAUUUGGUAAAGUAUUCAAAGGUGAACUAUAGGAAAUACAUAAAGCAUACAGUCCAGAACAGGGGUUGUCUGCAACAAAAGUUAUAAUACUAACUCUGGUGAUCUUCCCAGGAACAAACAGGGUGUGGCAAGUUUCGGGUUUUGCAGCCAUCUGGUUCACCAGACCAUACAGUUCUAUGCACUAUUGCUGCAGCACUGGAAUCAGUCUUGAGUGCAAGACAAUUGCUCUUUGAUAAAAAA